RNAcentral lists this ribosomal RNA (402 nucleotides) under Ferribacterium sp. Its description in RNAcentral is "partial 16S ribosomal RNA". It matches the Rfam family "Bacterial small subunit ribosomal RNA", at positions 355 to 774 of the family's 1533-position model. The record is from RNAcentral. Lineage: Bacteria; Pseudomonadati; Pseudomonadota; Betaproteobacteria; Rhodocyclales; Azonexaceae. RNAcentral also lists the same sequence under 1 other name.
UGGGGAAUAUUGGACAAUGGGCGCAAGCCUGAUCCAGCCAUGCCGCGUGAGUGAUGAAGGCCCUAGGGUUGUAAAGCUCUUUCACCGGUGAAGAUAAUGACGGUAACCGGAGAAGAAGCCCCGGCUAACUUCGUGCCAGCAGCCGCGGUAAUACGAAGGGGGCUAGCGUUGUUCGGAUUUACUGGGCGUAAAGCGCACGUAGGCGGAUUUUUAAGUCAGGGGUGAAAUCCCGGGGCUCAACCCCGGAACUGCCUUUGAUACUGGAAGUCUUGAGUAUGGUAGAGGUGAGUGGAAUUCCGAGUGUAGAGGUGAAAUUCGUAGAUAUUCGGAGGAACACCAGUGGCGAAGGCGGCUCACUGGACCAUUACUGACGCUGAGGUGCGAAAGCGUGGGGAGCAAACA